This 281-nucleotide unclassified non-coding RNA is filed under the name uncultured fungus. Its description in RNAcentral is "partial contains small subunit ribosomal RNA, internal transcribed spacer 1, and 5.8S ribosomal RNA". The stretch from base 1 to 73 matches the Rfam family "Eukaryotic small subunit ribosomal RNA", at positions 1759 to 1831 of the family's 1831-position model. The record is from RNAcentral. Lineage: Eukaryota; Fungi.
UCAAACUUGGUCAUUUAGAGGAAGUAAAAGUCGUAACAAGGUUUUCGUAGGUGAACCUGCGGAAGGAUCAUUAACGAGUGGCAACUCCCUUGGGAGUCCUCUCCACCCCGUGAGUACGGACCUGUUGCUUUGGCGGGCCGUGGCCCUGCCCCGCCGGCUGCGGCUGGCGCGCGCCCGCCAGAGGCUUUACACUCGAAUUUAUGCGAGUCUGAGCGAGAAUGAAAAUGCAAAAAACUUUCAACAACGGAUCUCUUGGUUCUGGCAUCGAUGAAGAACGCAGC